This 493-nucleotide ribosomal RNA is filed under the name uncultured bacterium. RNAcentral describes it as "partial 16S ribosomal RNA". It matches the Rfam family "Bacterial small subunit ribosomal RNA", at positions 29 to 508 of the family's 1533-position model. The record is from RNAcentral.
AGUGAACGCUGGCGGUAGGCCUAACACAUGCAAGUCGAACGGCAGCACAGUAAGAGCUUGCUCUUACGGGUGGCGAGUGGCGGACGGGUGAGGAAUACAUCGGAAUCUACUUUUUCGUGGGGGAUAACGUAGGGAAACUUACGCUAAUACCGCAUACGACCUACGGGUGAAAGCAGGGGAUCUUCGGACCUUGCGCGAUUGAAUGAGCCGAUGUCGGAUUAGCUAGUUGGCGGGGUAAAGGCCCACCAAGGCGACGAUCCGUAGCUGGUCUGAGAGGAUGAUCAGUCACACUGGAACUGAGACACGGUCCAGACUCCUACGGGAGGCAGCAGUGGGGAAUAUUGGACAAUGGGCGCAAGCCUGAUCCAGCCAUACCGCGUGGGUGAAGAAGGCCUUCGGGUUGUAAAGCCCUUUUGUUGGGAAAGAAAAGCAGCAGGUUAAUACCCCGCUGUUCUGACGGUACCCAAAGAAUAAGCACCGGCUAACUUCGUGC